UAUCCAUAGCGUCUUUCCUUCCGCCCCGAGCAGCCGCGCUGCUAGCGCUUGCGAACCCCGACGCCACCUCAAUUCCUCCGCGUUCGGUGCGACGCCGGAGCAUGCCUCGCAUGCCGGCGAGCUGACCAUCGAGCAGCAGCCACCGCGCCGCCCUCCUGCUUUGCCUUUUUCCCGUCCUUCCCUCCUCUCUCACCUCUCUCUGCCUCGCCUACACUGCGACACAGGGACGCCGCCGGCACGUGGAACGAGGCCGCCCCAACUGGAUCCACAUCGUCCUCCAUCGCCUGCUCUCCGCCGUCCGUCCUCACCGCGAAUCGGUCGUGCCGGUAGCCGUCGUUGCCAGAUCCUAGCUUGGCCACCCGCUGAAAGAUCCAGCGCCCUGCAACACUAACCUAUGCUCCAAUCUUUUCCCUGCCCAGCUCCAAUCUUUGAUCCGUCCAUGUUUGAGGUAAUGUGUACAGAGAACGAGAUUGCCGAGCCAACUCAGCAGGGAAGUAUCUAUCUGUUACUGCUAUUUCUGCAAUUUUGUAAGCCAGAUUUGUGCCAAGUGCAUUGCAUAAUAUAUCUCUAAAGGUCAUUGCUAUUUCUAUGAUCUUCCAUCAAUUUUUAUUACAACAGAAAAUGGUCCUUAUCACAUAUAUAGUAUGCACUGGACAACUGAUAUAUAUGAUGGUUGCAAUGGGCUGAUGGCGCAUCUACUCACACCUUGGACAUUCAUCGCAAGCAAGUAUGUAUCUUAAGUUCCAUGAUGCAGUUAACAUUUAAUCAUAUUAAUAUUAUCUCUCUGAUAUCCCGGACACAGCAUAGAUUUUACAAGCAAAACUUUAUCAAACUAGAUUUGUUGCACCUGCACUGCAUGUUGAUGUAAUUGGGCUGGACUAAUUUUGUGUUUAAAGUUGUCCCUGAUGUACGUACAUUAUUAGCUAUCAUGGAAACGACAAAUAGCUGAUGUUUGUCUAUAGUUACUUCAUGGUAUGUUGCAUAUUCCUCUAAAUUUGUGAGAUUUGAGAUAGUAGAAACAACACACCGUGAUCUUCAGGCCUUGCCUGAUGCUUCAUUAUUUGAGGACCAUGCAAUAAAAUUUAAUUUCCAGUUUAUGUAGGAUUAUUAGUCAUUUGAUGCGGAAAGUUUUAGGAUUUCAGUAUGUGUUUAGUUACGCUCCUACAGUUUAUGCAAGAAAAUUAACAGAAAGGAAUUGCAUGAACUAUUCUUUUUAUUCAUAAAUAUGAGGCAUGUACAACUAUUUUUCUCUAUUGCGAAGAAAAACAUUCCUUGCCCCAAACGAGCCAGCACACAAAUAAGAGUGACUCCAAGCUUUUUUCAGAACUGAGUUAGUAGUUACGUUAUCCGUAAGAGUAUCUUAGGUUUUAAGUGACAAUCUUCAAACUCUCUCUGCUUUAUUAAUUUACUUUUUAUAAAUAAUAUGAAGACUCAAAUUUGAAAAAUUAAACCAAUAAGUGUAUUUAGUGAAGUCAGAGGUCUGUUUGGAAUGUUCUUAGUGCAAGUCUGACAAUACAGUCAUGCUUCUUCUAUUUACUUUCAGUUCUAAAUACAUUUGUGAUUUUCUAUAUGCUGUACUACUAAACUGGGUGUGCUAAACCAAACAUAUAGUAUAUGAAAAGGAUUCUAAAAUGUGAGCUUAUAUUGACAACUCUUGAAAAUAUAUGGUUGUUUUACUGUUUUUGCCAUGAACUUGGGGAGCUUGGGAUGGAGUAUGGUGUCAAUGAUCGGUAUAUACCAGAACAAUAUUUUUGUGAUAUUGUAUAUACUAACUUAGUGAUAAUGGAGUAUAUACAACAUUUUUUCCAUGGACUCUACCGCAUUUUUGAACUGGUUAGAAUAGCUGAUGCCUUUUUUAUCUUCCUUGUGGUAUAUGCUACCAUCAAAGGGAGUAUAUAAGGUACUAAUUUCAAGUAUAUACUAUUGUACUAUAUUUUGUCUAUAUACAUCUACAACCAAGUAGUAUGUACACUGCUCUUUGUGCACGGCAGUAUAUACAUCAUUUUUUGUAAGGCAAUAUAUAAUACCUUUUUUUGUGAACCAGUAUACUACUUUAUUUUAGUCAGUAUAUACAUAAUUUUUGGUCGAUAUAUACUACUUUUCUGUAGUCGGCAUAUACUACUGUUCGUGAUAUAGUAAAGGGUAAAGCAGCGUGCACAUGACACGCAGCAGCCGUUGUCGACUAUACGGUGGUGCCGCUGCAUCGAUCUAUCAGUGCAUGUCACGCCACCACCGUUUCUUAUUGCUGCCGUUGUCGAUGAGAUUGGUGGUGCCGUCACAUGGAUCGAUCAGUGCACACCAUGCUGCCAUGUUGUCGACGAGAUGGUGGUGCCGUCUUAUCCACGAACAGUUCACCUACUCAUUAUCGUCGCAUCCGCUAUGUGACUAGCUGCGUCAAUGGCUUUGUGCCUCGAACCAGAUUGCUUUCAUGCAAAGCCUGUCAUGUUUGCCUCUUAAUGACAACAUCCGCUAAGUCAGUUCUCUCUCACUCUCACGCUCUCUCUCUCUCUACUAUUGCAACUAACUGCGAUGAUCUUCUCCAGGUUUUUUGGGCUAGAUACUGAGAUGGCACCACUGCGUUGCUGAAGUUAAACCCUGUUUAUUGGGACGUACAAGCCGGCGGCAAGCACACAUGGCGGCCGGAGACAGGCCAUGUUUUUCCAAUGACUGCUGCUAGGAUUGAUGUCCUAUUGCAGGAGAAACAAUGGCAACUGUCGCAUCGUUUUGUCCAGCGAUGAUAUCAUCCUUGUCUAUUAUUUUGUUGACAAUCACCACAGGCACUCAAUUCACGAGCCAAACAUUGAUGUGGGCUACCAUGGGGGCUAGGAAGCAGCAUCAGCUUGAAGCUAACUUAAAAUUAACUCUAAUGAGCAUUUGGUCUUUAUUCUGUCUCGAUACAAACACAUCAACGUGUGGGCUACCAUCCAUUGAUGCGCAGAGACCAGGUUACGAUGGCAACAUUUAGGCCAAUUUUUUAUCUACCGAUCGAUCUACAAUUUCCUUUUUCUAUUUAGAGUUGAUCUCUAUUUUCUCUUUUUCUGUUCAUGCUUGUGGCAAAAUUGGAGAUAUUCAUGUCUCACGGGUGUUGUUGCUGCAGCCCAUUCAUGGCGAGGAUACAUGGCUGAUGGCCCACAGAUCCUUAGGGGAUGAAAGGAUCCCCACAUGACUACAGGAAUAGCACUAAAUAAAUUGUGUACUAACUAGAGCAAUGAUAUAUUUCAUAGGUCUAGGAUAUAUAUGUGAAAUAACAAUUUACUUCAUAUAACUACUAGCCUGACAAGUAUUUGGCAUUCUGUCUUUUUAAUAAAGUAGCUGAUUUUUCUA
Long non-coding RNA from Triticum urartu, 3324 nucleotides. RefSeq lists it as uncharacterized. Lineage: Eukaryota; Viridiplantae; Streptophyta; Magnoliopsida; Poales; Poaceae. The record is from RefSeq and is a predicted model, not a curated record.